Molecule: long non-coding RNA, 1274 nt
Organism: Oryza brachyantha (malo sina)
Lineage: Eukaryota; Viridiplantae; Streptophyta; Magnoliopsida; Poales; Poaceae
Exons: 6
Source: RefSeq, a predicted model, not a curated record
UUCCGCUUCGCCACGCGGCCAACGCCGCUGCACUUCAGCCAUGGCGGACGGCGGCGGAGGGCGAGGAAGAGCGCAACAACUUCGCCAAGCGCCCGUGGCAGUCGGAGGUCCGUUGACGAUGGUGAGCGAGAUGGGUGACAAAACAGGGCCCAAAGAUUGAACAAGCCUACUUCUGUAGCCUCCAGCCAGAUGCCAAGGACAGUCAUGUGGGUGUAGGCAGGCCAAGACAAGAUUGACAUUGACUCUCUCAUGUUGCGGUUCACAAGGCGUACCGUCAAUCCUGAUUCCUCGCAGUGUGUUGCUACAAGAUCAUCAGAUGAUUCAGAUCGGCCUCACUGAGGCUGCAUAUCUGUGUCUCUGGCUGCAUCGCUGCCAGAGGUGGCAAGGUCCCAUCGCUCCGACCUUGAGUGGCCACUGGCCAACAGGCAAGCACCUAGCGAUCGUGGAGGCUGACCUGCUCAAUGGCUUUGGUGCUCACCCGACAGUCGGCACAUCGAACCUACACAACACAACCCUAUCCUGGCCAAGUGGUAACCGGUUGACUGUAGAAGGGGGACCUUUUUACUGUAUUUGACAACUUUUUACCAGCUCCAUCAACUGGAGGUAAUGUGAGAAAUAGUUAAGGUGUUCCUGGAUGAACGUAUCUCAAAUGAAAGGACAAGAGACAUUGAUGAUACCAUAGCACCAAACAUGCUGUAGGACAUAUUUUUCUAUACACUGUGGAACCCACUUCUGCUUUCAACAAUAUAUGCAAGAAGAUAAGAAAGACAAAGAAGCAACAAACAAGAGGCAAUGAUAAACAAUUUCUUCUUUUGGUUUUCAGGUCUUGGUCUGGCAGUACUUGGUUUCUAGUUGCCUGCAAGAGCCAAGAGGUUCAGAGAUUUAGCUCCGAUCUCGAUGCACCAAGGAAACAUCCAUCCUUGAAGAUCUCUCUACAAUAUAUCGUGUCUAGAUCUUUGGAUGAUCGAUGAGGAUGUACGCUUUGCUGCAGCGUUAUCUGCCUAGUUCGGCAGAUAUGUCAGCCAGGUACUCGAUCCUAUACCCUAAAUAUAGAUUUCUUCAUUUUGUUCGAAGCUUAGCACGGCACGUUUUCUUGUAUCGAUCGAGCUAAUCUGCUGUGUAGUUUGUGAUCAUGUUGGACGUGAACAAGUUAUUAAUUUGCUUGUGCUUGAAUGUGUUGUCUCCUUUUAAGUGCACGAAAAUUUCUGAUUAUUGCGAGAAAUGAACUACAUAUUGUGAAACCCCUCUUAUUUUUUUUAGAGUAUACUAGCAAA